AAGUCGUAACAAGGUUUCCGUAGGUGAACCUGCGGAAGGAUCAUUAACCGUGUCUGUAUGUGGACAUGUGAUGUGGUGUGUGCGUGUGUGUUUGGCCCUUGUGGCCAUGUUUUUACAUUCUUUUACGAGUUGUCUAAUUCCUCAUUAACCAGUAAAACUGGCAGCAAUGGAUCCCUCGGUUCUC
Molecule: unclassified non-coding RNA, 184 nt
Filed under: fungal sp.
Lineage: Eukaryota; Fungi
Also listed under: 1 other name
Description: partial internal transcribed spacer region
Rfam family: Eukaryotic small subunit ribosomal RNA (bases 1-46)
Source: RNAcentral